Molecule: ribosomal RNA, 497 nt
Filed under: uncultured bacterium
Lineage: Bacteria
Description: partial 16S ribosomal RNA
Rfam family: Bacterial small subunit ribosomal RNA
Source: RNAcentral
GAUGAACGCUGGCGGCGUGCCUAAUACAUGCAAGUCGAGCGAACAGACGAGGAGCUUGCUCCUCUGACGUUAGCGGCGGACGGGUGAGUAACACGUGGAUAACCUACCUAUAAGACUGGGAUAACUUCGGGAAACCGGAGCUAAUACCGGAUAAUAUAUUGAACCGCAUGGUUCAAUAGUGAAAGACGGUUUUGCUGUCACUUAUAGAUGGAUCCGCGCCGCAUUAGCUAGUUGGUAAGGUAACGGCCUACCAAGGCAACGAUGCGUAGCCGACCUGAGAGGGGGAUAGGCCACACUGGAACUGAGACACGGUCCAGACUCCUACGAGAGGCAGCAGUAGGAAAUCUUCCGCGAUGGGCGAAAGCCUGACGGAGCAACGCCGCGUGAGUGAUGAAGGUCUUCGGAUCGUAAAACUCUGUUAUUAGGGAAGAACAAAUGUGUAAGUAACUAUGCACGUCUUGACGGUACCUAAUCAGAAAGCCACGGCUAACUACGUG